AACCACAAGCUACUAUGACGAAGACAAUAUUUUUCGCUCCGGUCUCAAUUUUAACAUCUUUCGGAAGUUUGGCUGACACUAUGUUUUCAAGGAUAAAUCGUCCGCAUUGGGCGCCCCGUCCGCAUUCACUUUCACAAACGGUGGCUCUCCUGAGGAGGCUGCAGAGUACCCUGGUGAUUGCUGAACACAACAAUGAGGUGCUGACUCCAGUCACAUUGAAUGCCAUCACUGCCGCUCAGAAAACAGGCGAUGUCACUUGCCUCGUGGCUGGAAGUCAGUGUGGAAAGGUUGCAGAGGAACUGAGCAAAGUCAAUGGAGUUAAGAAAGUGCUGGUUGCAGACAAUGAAGUAUACAAAGGAUUCCUUCCAGAGGCAUUGACAUCAUUGGUAUUGGCAUUACAAAAACAGUUUAACUUCAAGUAUGUGAUUGCACCUGCUAGUGCCACAGGAAAGGGCUUGAUACCUCGGAUAGCAGCCAAGCUGGACGUGUCCCCAAUAUCUGAGAUCAUUGGAAUCAAGGACAAGGACACGUUUGUGAGAACAAUCUAUGCUGGUAAUGCCAUCCAGACACUCAAGUCCAGUGAUGCAGUGAAGUGUAUCACUGUGCGUGGCACAGCAUUUGAGGCUGCCCAAACAACAGGAGGGUCUGGAGUCACUGAAAAGGUCUCUGGUGAAGCCGUAAAGAAUGACCAGUCAUCGUUUAUCAGCCAGGAAUUAACCAAGAGUGAUCGUCCAGCGCUUGCCAGUGCCAGAAUUGUGAUCUCUGGAGGCCGAGGCAUGAAGAAUGGUGAGAAUUUUGGUAUGCUUUAUGAGCUGGCAGACAAGAUGAAGGCAGCAGUGGGGGCCUCAAGGGCUGCCGUGGAUGCUGGCUUCGUGCCUAAUGACAUGCAGAUUGGCCAAACUGGCAAAAUAGUGGCCCCGGACCUGUACAUCGCAGUGGGCAAGGUUCAUAUCAAACACUCCACCUCUUCUCUCUCUAGGACCUGUACAUCGCAGUGGGCAUAUCAGGGGCCAUUCAGCACCUGGCGGGCAUGAAGGACAGUAAGGUGAUCGUGGCCAUCAACAAGGACCCUGAGGCGCCCAUCUUCCAGGUGGCAGACUACGGACUGGUCCAGGACCUCUUCAAGGCGAUCCCUGAGAUGUCGAGUAUGGUGAAGGUUUAAUUGUGCACGUUAGCUGGGAUAUGUAGGCAUCAAAUGGACAUUUGUUUGAGAGAUAUUACUUUUAAAGGAUUCAACACAUAUUUGCUCUCUUUUUUCAAUGUGUGUACAUGUGUAUUUUAUUAUUAUAACAUUAUUCAAAGUAUAAAAAAUAAAUUUGGACUAAGUAUUGUU
Dreissena polymorpha is the source of this 1333-nucleotide RNA transcript. It is a transcript of the gene named electron transfer flavoprotein subunit alpha, mitochondrial-like, with no coding region annotated. Lineage: Eukaryota; Metazoa; Mollusca; Bivalvia; Myida; Dreissenidae. The transcript is spliced from 10 exons. The record is from RefSeq and is a predicted model, not a curated record.